Molecule: ribosomal RNA, 444 nt
Filed under: uncultured bacterium
Lineage: Bacteria
Description: partial 16S ribosomal RNA
Rfam family: Bacterial small subunit ribosomal RNA
Source: RNAcentral
CCUACGGGGGGCAGCAGUGGGGAAUAUUGGGCAAUGGAGGCAACUCUGACCCAGCAAUGCCGCGUGAAUGAAGAAGGUCUUCGGAUUGUAAAGUUCUUUAGUCAGGGAAGAAUAAAAUGACGGUACCUGAAGAAUAAGCUCCGGCUAAAUAGGUGCCAGGAGCCGCGGUAAAACGUAGGGAGCAAGCGUUGUUCGGAAUGACUGGGCGUAAAGGGUGCGUAGGCGGUUAUAAAAAUUAGAAGUGAAAUACCCAGGGCUUAACCCGGGUGCUGCUUCUAAAACUGUAAGACUUGAGUGCAGGAGAGGUUAGUGGAAUUCCUGGUGUAGCGGUGGAAUGCGUAGAGAUUAGGAGGAACACCAGUGGCGAAGGCGGCUAACUGGACUGCAACUGACGCUGAGGCACGAAAGUGUGGGGAGCAAACAGGAUUAGAUACCCGAGUAGUC